GACGAACGCUGGCGGCGUGCUUGACACAUGCAAGUCGAACGGAAAGGCCUGCUUUCCCUUGUGGAUUGCGGGUACUCGAGUGGCGAACGGGUGAGUAACACGUGAGUGAUCUGCCCCCAACUUGGGUAUAAGCCUGGGAAACUGGGUCUAAUUCCCGAUAGGACUGCAGGGUGGUGCCUGUGGUGGAAAACGAUUUUCUAGUGGUUGGGGAUGAGCUCGCGGCCUAUCAGCUUGUUGGUGGGGUAAUGGCCUACCAAGGCGGCGACGGGUAGCCGGCCUGAGAGGGUGGACGGCCACAUUGGGACUGAGAGACGGCCCAGACUCCGACGGGAGGCAGCAGUGGGGAAUAUUGCACAAUGGGCGGAAGCCUGAUGCAGCGACGCCGCGUGGGGGAUGACGGCCUUCGGGUUGUAAACUCCUUUCGACCGCGAGGAAGCCACCUGGUUGGAAGGGUGGUGACGGUAGUGGUAGAAGAAGCACCGGCUAACUACGUG
Molecule: ribosomal RNA, 494 nt
Filed under: uncultured bacterium
Lineage: Bacteria
Description: partial 16S ribosomal RNA
Rfam family: Bacterial small subunit ribosomal RNA
Source: RNAcentral